GACGAACGCUGGCGGCGUGCCUAAUACAUGCAAGUCGAACGCAGUGGGGACGGGUGAGUAACAUGUGGGCAACCUCCCAUCAGAGGGGAUAACACUUGGAUACAGGUGCUAAACCGACACUGAUGUAUGGACUCGCGGUGAAUUAGCUAGUUGGAGGGGUAAAGGCUCACCAAGGCUACGAUGCAUAGCGGACCUGGGAGGGUGAUCGGCCACACUGGGACUGAGACACGGCCCAGACUCCUACGGGAGGCAGCAGUAGGGAAUCUUGGGCAAUGGACGAAAGUCUGACCGAGCAACGCCGCGUGAGUGAAGAAGGUUUUCGGGUCGUAAAACUCUUUUGUUAGAGAAGCGGUAUCUAACCAAGAAGCCACGGCUAACUACGUGCCAGCAGCCGCGGUAAUAC
RNAcentral lists this ribosomal RNA (403 nucleotides) under uncultured bacterium. Its description in RNAcentral is "partial 16S ribosomal RNA". It matches the Rfam family "Bacterial small subunit ribosomal RNA", at positions 28 to 526 of the family's 1533-position model. The record is from RNAcentral.